GAUGAACGCUAGCUACAGGCUUAACACAUGCAAGUCGAGGGACCGGCGCACGGGUGAGUAACACGUAUCCAACCUGCCCUUUACUCGGGGAUAGCCUUUCGAACUAAAGAUUAAUACCCGAUAUAAAGGAUGGGGAUGCGUUCCAUUAGGUUGUUGGUGAGGUACCGACCCACCAAGCCUUCGAUGGAUAGGGGUGCUGAGAGGAAGGUCCCCCACAUUGGAAAGGAGACACGGUCCAAACUCCUACGGGAGGCAGCAGUGAGGAAUAUUGGUCAAUGGGCGUUAGCCGGAACCAGCCAAGUAGCGUGAAGGAUGAAGGCUUAUGGGUCGUAAACUUCUUUUAUAUAAGAAUAUGUAUUAUAUGAAUAAGGAUCGGCUAACUCCGUGCCAGCCGCCGCGGUAAUUC
RNAcentral lists this ribosomal RNA (406 nucleotides) under uncultured bacterium. RNAcentral describes it as "partial 16S ribosomal RNA". It matches the Rfam family "Bacterial small subunit ribosomal RNA", at positions 28 to 526 of the family's 1533-position model. The record is from RNAcentral.